This 1372-nucleotide ribosomal RNA is filed under the name uncultured bacterium. Its description in RNAcentral is "bacterial SSU rRNA". It matches the Rfam family "Bacterial small subunit ribosomal RNA", at positions 28 to 1381 of the family's 1533-position model. The record is from RNAcentral.
GAUGAACGCUGGCGGCGUGCCUAAUACAUGCAAGUCGAGCGAACGGACGAGAAGCUUGCUUCUCUGAUGUUAGCGGCGGACGGGUGAGUAACACGUGGAUAACCUACCUAUAAGACUGGGAUAACUUCGGGAAACCGGAGCUAAUACCGGAUAAUAUUUUGAACCGCAUGGUUCAAAAGUGAAAGACGGUCUUGCUGUCACUUAUAGAUGGAUCCGCGCUGCAUUAGCUAGUUGGUAAGGUAACGGCUUACCAAGGCAACGAUGCAUAGCCGACCUGAGAGGGUGAUCGGCCACACUGGAACUGAGACACGGUCCAGACUCCUACGGGAGGCAGCAGUAGGGAAUCUUCCGCAAUGGGCGAAAGCCUGACGGAGCAACGCCGCGUGAGUGAUGAAGGUCUUCGGAUCGUAAAACUCUGUUAUUAGGGAAGAACAUAUGUGUAAGUAACUGUGCACAUCUUGACGGUACCUAAUCAGAAAGCCACGGCUAACUACGUGCCAGCAGCCGCGGUAAUACGUAGGUGGCAAGCGUUAUCCGGAAUUAUUGGGCGUAAAGCGCGCGUAGGCGGUUUUUUAAGUCUGAUGUGAAAGCCCACGGCCCAACCGUGGAGGGUCAGUGGAAACUGGAAAACUUGAGUGCAGAAGAGGAAAGUGGAAUUCCAUGUGUAGCGGUGAAAUGCGCAGAGAUAUGGAGGAACACCAGUGGCGAAGGCGACUUUCUGGUCUGUAACUGACGCUGAUGUGCGAAAGCGUGGGGAUCAAACAGGAUUAGAUACCCUGGUAGUCCACGCCGUAAACGAUGAGUGCUAAGUGUUAGGGGGUUUCCGCCCCUUAGUGCUGCAGCUAACGCAUUAAGCACUCCGCCUGGGGAGUACGACCGCAAGGUUGAAACUCAAAGGAAUUGACGGGGACCCGCACAAGCGGUGGAGCAUGUGGUUUAAUUCGAAGCAACGCGAAGAACCUUACCAAAUCUUGACAUCCUUUGACAACUCUAGAGAUAGAGCCUUCCCCUUCGGGGGACAAAGUGACAGGUGGUGCAUGGUUGUCGUCAGCUCGUGUCGUGAGAUGUUGGGUUAAGUCCCGCAACGAGCGCAACCCUUAAGCUUAGUUGCCAUCAUUAAGUUGGGCACUCUAAGUUGACUGCCGGUGACAAACCGGAGGAAGGUGGGGAUGACGUCAAAUCAUCAUGCCCCUUAUGAUUUGGGCUACACACGUGCUACAAUGGACAAUACAAAGGGCAGCGAAACCGCGAGGUCAAGCAAAUCCCAUAAAGUUGUUCUCAGUUCGGAUUGUAGUCUGCAACUCGACUACAUGAAGCUGGAAUCGCUAGUAAUCGUAGAUCAGCAUGCUACGGUGAAUACGUUCCCGGGUCU